UGAAUAAGCAUUUAUAAAUAAUAAUAAUAAUAAUAAAAGAAAAAAUGAAAUAAAUCUCACCUCCCAGGAGCCAGUGGUGUCAGUUUCAUUAUUUAUAUUACUCUGGUGCUUCAGCUUCACCCUUUGUUGUUGUUGUUAUUGUUGUUGCUGUUGAAAGCAAUAUUAAUUACAGCAUUUUUAUAUGUUGCCCUGGGGGAAUUUUUGAAAGACAACAGCUUCUAGCUUUGUUAAAUCCUCCAGAGCUAGAAGUGGACUCGUUUUUCCUCCCAUCCAAGGAUGGCAGCCGGACUUGACUCCAUGUGCACGCAUGAAACGGGACUCUUACCAAAGAUGAGAUGUCUCAGGCACAGAGAGGCCACAGCUGGUAAGAGGUGGAGUGGAUUCAAACUCAGGCAAGUUCGCCCUUUUCAUCAACAGGUCUUUAAUCCAUCUGGAGCUCACAUGUGUAUGUGGCAUUGAUGUGGCAGGCCAGGUCCGAGGACCCAGAGGGGAUCCUACAGAACCAGCCAAGAGGGUCCCUGAGGAUGGAAAUCAAAUGCGAGCCAGCAGGAAGUGAGAGUUUAUUGAUGACACAGAGAGAGCAGAUACAGACGGAACAUCUGAGAGACUCAGAAAGCAAAUGCAGGAGAGUCUCAUCUUUGCUUGGGGGUCUAGAGUUUUCACUGAAGAUGGUGGUCUGGUGUACGUGUCCUCUCUGGCAUCCAGGAACUGGUCGAACAAGGACCAGUGCUCAGGUGUCCUCCAUAAGUCACUUAUGCCUAGAGCCCGGGGGUCUUGGUGUUCAAGGUGUUUGGAGUCAGAGGUCUCGGACAACGUUCAUGAGGACUCCACCCAGUCCUGUAUCUAUUGCUCUCGAAGGCUCCAAAGAAAUCAUUAACUCCUUGACCUUUACAAGGAGGACAUACAUGAAGACAUAUGUAAGGCAGGUCCUAGCAGGAAUAGAGGCAGGAAAAGGAGCAAAGAAAAAAAGCUUUUUUUUUUCUUCAUGGAGUUCCUUCACUUUCCCUUUCUCAGUAUUAUGUAGGGAUCCAGUCUUUUUUUCUCAAGUUUAUUUAUUCAUCUUUAGAUUGAGAGAGAAAGCGCGCUAACACAAGCAGAGGGAGGGAGAGAGAGAGAAACCCAAGCAGGCUCUGCACUGUCUGCACAGAGCCUGAUGUGGGGCUGGAACGCACGAACCCUGAGGUUACUGACCUGAGCUGAAAUCAAGAGUAGUCCGCUUAACUGACUGAGCCACCCAGGUGCCCCUGUAGGGAUCCGGUUUUAUUUCUCUCCAAAAUGCAAGCCAGUUUUUCUAAGACCACUCUUUCUCCACUGCUGUGUGGUGCCUAAAGAUGCCAUGUUUGUUAUGACUUGGCCGAGUCUUCUUGAGACUAUGGAUAAGCCAGAAGAAAGCCCAACUGAGAUUGGAGAGAGGGAGAGAUGCUACAGUUUGAGCUCCAGAUAUUUUUAAAGCCAGAAAUCUCCUAUUUUUGUU
Molecule: long non-coding RNA, 1474 nt
Organism: Acinonyx jubatus (cheetah)
Lineage: Eukaryota; Metazoa; Chordata; Mammalia; Carnivora; Felidae
Exons: 3
Source: RefSeq, a predicted model, not a curated record